CUACCAGUAUAUCUCUGUGGGGAACAUUAUUGAAAAGCUGCUUCCAGUGACCUCUCAAGGGAAAAAGAUUUUUCCUUUCAGUCAACAUGCACUACUACAGAUCUGUUACAGAGUCACAAAUCAGAUCUACUGGUGAAGUUGAACUUGAACGCAUCUCCAGUCAUGAUUCUCUUUACCACAUACAGACUUUAUGAAUGUGGAGUGAGACUGAUCUUUCCAAGUGUAUUUCACCAAAAAGGCAGGACUCAUGGAAAAGGUAGCUGCUCUCAGAUCAUCCUAAGCUCACAUUAAAGAAUGUACUGACACUUGCUAUCUGAGAAGUCUAUGCCUGCUUAUCUUUUUCAUUUUUGCAUGAUACAUUCACAAAGUCCUCAGAAAUUAAGAGUAUCCUGUGAAGGCAAGAUACAAGCUGGCAGUCUCCCUGCUUCCUCUUCUCUGCUGACUUAAAUUUGCAAGGCCUAGAAGAUGGGAAAAAGAGUUCCUGCAGAGAUCCCAAAACUAGUAGUCAUUACUCCAAAAGAGCUGACCUGACCACUUUGGACUAUAAGCAAGACAUCAUCAUCAACAGUGGAAGAACACAGCUUUGGACAAACCACCAUUACUGAAGGUCAUUACCUGAGACCAAGACAUCACUGGAACAAGUUGUGGUGAACCACAUCACUUUGCUGUGUUAUCUGUCUUUCUGUCUCUCUCUCCCCGUCUUUUCUCUUUAUCAUUCUUUAUUCUUUUACUCUUUGUAGUAGUCAUUGCCUAAUAUUGUCUUACCUGUAAUGCUUAUUAAUCAUAAUUAGAAAAUUAGCAAAUUUUAUCUCCGAGUAGAGCAUUAGUUGUUGUUAAGAAAGCUCUCAGUAAAUUGAUGUGUAUUGUUCUUCAGAGUCUUGGAUGACUCCAUUGUUGUAGCUAUCCCUUGCUGGGGUCACCUUCCUCUCUACUUCCCCAGGUCAGGAAGCUGUAGAGAGCAAUGAGAUUGCCUCUCGGCUUCCUUUUUUUCAGACUAGACAAGUGUCCUCAGCCCUUUUACCAGUCCUGAGGACCCCUUUAACCAGUUUGUUGCCCUCCUCUGAAUACAUCUAAGGAACUUAUUAUGUUUUUUAUAUCUUGGAGCCCAGAAAUGACCACAACGUUCGAGGUGAGUCCACCACAGUGUUAAUUAUAAUGGAAGAAUCACCUCUUUUAACCAGCUGGCUAUGCUUUGCUUACUGCAACCUAAAAAGCUGUUUGGCCUCUUGACUACCAGAGCACACUGCUAACUUAUACUGAGCCUGCUGUCACCAGUUCCUUUCUGCUAAGCUGCUCUCCAGACACCUGUCUCCCACUCUGUACCUGUGUCCAGUAUUACUCUGUCCCAGAUGCAAAGCACAGCAUUUACCCUUUUUAAAUUUCAUGCCACUACUGAUUGUUCAGUGCUUUAACCUAUCUAGAUCCCCCUGCAAUGCCUUUUUUCCAUCCAAGAAAGCCAACAGCACCUCCCAGCUUACG
Molecule: long non-coding RNA, 1479 nt
Organism: Gallus gallus (chicken)
Lineage: Eukaryota; Metazoa; Chordata; Aves; Galliformes; Phasianidae
Source: Ensembl